RNAcentral lists this transfer RNA (76 nucleotides) under Peptostreptococcus canis. RNAcentral describes it as "tRNA-Met". It matches the Rfam family "tRNA". From Rfam's summary of the family: Transfer RNA (tRNA) molecules are approximately 80 nucleotides in length. Their secondary structure includes four short double-helical elements and three loops (D, anti-codon, and T loops). Lineage: Bacteria; Bacillati; Bacillota; Clostridia; Peptostreptococcales; Peptostreptococcaceae. The record is from RNAcentral. RNAcentral also lists the same sequence under 1 other name.
CGCGGGGUGGAGCAGUUGGCAGCUCGUCGGGCUCAUAACCCGAAGGUCGAAGGUUCAAGUCCUUCCUCCGCAACCA